CGGCGGACGGGUGAGUAACGCGUGGGUAACCUGCCUCAUACAGGGGGAUAACAGUUGGAAACGGCUGCUAAUACCGCAUAAGCGCACAGUACCGCAUGGUACGGUGUGAAAAACUCCGGUGGUAUGAGAUGGACCCGCGUCUGAUUAGCUAGUUGGUGAGGUAACGGCCCACCAAGGCAACGAUCAGUAGCCGACCUGAGAGGGUGACCGGCCACAUUGGGACUGAGACACGGCCCAA
This 238-nucleotide ribosomal RNA is filed under the name uncultured bacterium. Its description in RNAcentral is "partial 16S ribosomal RNA". It matches the Rfam family "Bacterial small subunit ribosomal RNA", at positions 96 to 334 of the family's 1533-position model. The record is from RNAcentral.